AUCCGGGAAUGAAGUUCUCCCGUGGGCGGGCGUGACAGGCCUGUCCUAAACCGCUUUGCUUUAAGCUGAUGACUUCUGCGA
This 81-nucleotide non-coding RNA is filed under the name chicken gut metagenome. RNAcentral's name for it is "Fluoride riboswitch". It matches the Rfam family "Fluoride riboswitch aptamer (crcB RNA motif)", at positions 10 to 60 of the family's 64-position model. The record is from RNAcentral.